This 501-nucleotide long non-coding RNA is filed under the name Mus spicilegus (steppe mouse). RNAcentral's name for it is "lncRNA (ENSMSIG00000029727.1)". Lineage: Eukaryota; Metazoa; Chordata; Mammalia; Rodentia; Muridae. The record is from RNAcentral.
AGUUGCCUUGGUGGACUUUAGGUGAAACCUGUGAGGAAGAACUGGAUUCCAUGGCAACACAAGAAUCCAGGGUGACAACAAUUUCCAGAAGUUUCUCAUAUGGCCCUUGAGCUAGAACAGGUAUUUGUAAUUUGAAAUCCUGUAACUGUGGACCUGCGAAACUCCAUGAAAAUCAGUGUGGACUCAUCUACACUUUGAAUAUGGGCCAGCAAGGAGGAAGUCUUCAUUGAAUGGACUGCUUGAGUGAGGUUACAUCACAGCAUCAAGGAGGGUGAAAGUGGACCAGAAAAACAGGGAGUGUUGGAAGACACUGAAUACCAGGUGACAAUGUGUGGUCUUCUGUCUAUACUCAAAGAUUUCUGUCUAAGGUAAAUUUAAACUAUGGAAGACAAAAACUAACAGAACUCAGCCUGCCUGCCUAUCGACAUCAUCUCAUCCAUAGCACCAAUGUGGGAUGACAGAGAGUGCAACUCAAAUUUUAGUCUUGACUUUGGAGCAGUC